This 222-nucleotide ribosomal RNA is filed under the name uncultured Glomeromycotina. RNAcentral describes it as "partial 18S ribosomal RNA". The stretch from base 45 to 222 matches the Rfam family "Eukaryotic small subunit ribosomal RNA", at positions 693 to 871 of the family's 1831-position model. Lineage: Eukaryota; Fungi; Glomeromycota. The record is from RNAcentral.
GGAUCAAUAUGUUGGUCGUGCCUUGGUACGUACUAGCUUAUUGAUUUCUCCUUUCUGACGAACCAUGAUGUCAUUAAUUUGGUGUCAUGGGGAAUCAGGACUGUUACUUUGAAAAAAUUAGAGUGUUUAAAGCAUGCUCGCGCUUGAAUACAUUAGCAUGGAAUAAUGAAAUAGGACAUUUUGAUUCUAUUUUGUUGGUUUCUAGGAUCGAUGUAAUGAUUA